This 2829-nucleotide ribosomal RNA is filed under the name Triticum aestivum (bread wheat). Its description in RNAcentral is "partial small subunit ribosomal RNA". The record is from RNAcentral. Lineage: Eukaryota; Viridiplantae; Streptophyta; Magnoliopsida; Poales; Poaceae.
AUGACGCCCAAGAAACAAAUCCAAAAACGGAUGAAGAAAUCAAGAGAGAUCAUAGAAACGCCAUGCGGAGAGCUUCUUAUCGGAGGAACAAGGAUAAGCUUCUCGAAGAGGGAAACAAACGUCCACUUUCAUCAUCAAGAAAUAUUGCAGGAGGAAGCAACAUUUACCCCUUCAACAUUAGACAUGUCUGGCGUCAAUCAUGAUAAUGAUCUUGCUAGGAGGAAACGUGAUAAUGAGCGGAAAUGUAAUUUAACAAACGAGCAAAGGGAGCAGAUAAACGAACGUAGCCGAGCUUCUUAUCAGAAGAAAAAGGAGGAAGUAACGGUUGAUGUGAGACAAAAACAGAAUGAAAAAGUACGAGAGAAGAGGAUGGAUCGCCGGAAAAGCAUGUCAGUAAUUGAAAGGGGGGAGUCAAGUGCUCAAAGGAAGGCCAAUUAUGCCAGAAGGAAAAACACCCCGUGCAACGAAUCCAUCGCUAUCCCCCGUCCAGACCUGGGAAACUCAACCUCUCAAUGUCCGGCAUUCACCUGCCGCACAUCACCCGUCUCUCGGGCCAGAGGAGAUGAUUCAUCUGAUGGCGACCCUCCGACGAACAUGCCGAAUUACACUGUCCGUACCGAUGAAGACAUCGAUGUAUUCCUAAGCGACAUCAUGGGCGAUGAGCCGACAGGUCCCAAUUUGAUGGACGAGGAGUACUACAUGUUUCGCAACCAAGGAUCCGAUAAUGACAGCAUGGAUGAUGAGAGCGAAGCAACCAUGACUGGUGGUAAUCCUAGCGAGAUUGAUCCAUUUGACUUUGUCUACUCAAACAUUCCAGACAACACUCACAUCCUGAAACUCGCCGCAAACUGUGAACACUGCAAGGCCAGAAAAUUUGAGUCUGAGACUGACGGGUUCUGCUGUCGCAAUGGCCAGAUCGAACUUAAGCAACCGGAACCAGUCCCAGAGUUGAUGAGGCUAUGGUCCAGCAUGGAUGCAGAUUCUAGACAUUUUCGGGAGAACAUACGGUUCUUCAACGGGCAUUUUGCCUUCACAACCCUUGGCGACAGCCUUGAUGAAAACUACACAAACAUGAAGUCUGGGGUGUACACAUUCCGGGCACACGGCACCAUCUACCACAAUGUGCAUUCGUUCGGGCCUAGCUCCCGUCCUGAACAUCUGCAGUUGUACUUCUAUGAUGACGACCCAAACCUUAAUCAUCGUAAGGCAGCGACCAAUCAAUUAGACCAGGAUGUCGUGAAGAUGUUAGUAGACAUACUCAAAGAAAACCCAUACUCCCAGCAAUUUAGGAGUUUGGGUGCACACAAGGACAACCUCGAUGAUUAUAGGAUAGACCUAAACACCGAUAAGAGGCUUGACCAAAGAAGAUAUAAUAGACCGCUGUCAACUGAGGUUGCUGCAAUUUGGGUUGAGGGCAGUGACCUAGCCAAAAGGUUUGACAGGAGGAUAACGCUUUGUGGUAACAACAACGAAAGGCACAGUAUACGUGUGACCUCCGGAGCAUAUGAUCCGUUGUCUUAUCCCCUAUUCUAUCCAAGGGGGGAGCUAGGUUGGCACCCAAAGCUACCUAAACGUAAUGUUCCAUGGGAGGUUGUACAACAUCCUCAACUGGGCCAUGAUGAUGAGGAGGAUGCAGAGGGGAAUAGCAGGUUAUGCGUCUCCGUUAGAGACUACUACUGUUACAUGUUGCAAACACGGCCUGCGAUCUUCAAUCCCAUACUCUGUGGAGCACGCCUGCUGCAGCAAUGGGCGGUCGACAUGUACAUCAAGAUUGAGAGUUGUCGGUUGAGGUGGUACAGGAAGAACCAGACGCAGAUUCGUGUCGACUUGUAUAAAGGAGUUGUUGAUGCGAUCACAUCGGGGGAGACGAGAGCAAGCGCUGUUGGCACCCGAAUAGUUCUCCCUGGAACAUACCCUGGUGGCGACCGCGACAUGAAGAAGAGGCAUAUGGAUGCCAUGGCAAUUGUCCAUACAUACGGGAAGCCUGACAUCUUCUUGACCAUGACUUGCAACCCUAAAUGGGAAGAGAUAACAAAUGAGUUGCUUCCUGGUCAGACGGCGCAAGACCGACCUGAUAUUGUGGCUCGCGUGUUCUACGGCAAACUAGAGGCUAUGAAAUACAUGUUGUUCAAGAAGCAUAUCCUGGGUGUUGUGGUCGCUUACGUUUACGUAGUCGAGUUCCAAAAGAGGGGCCUCCCCCAUGCACAUUUUCUGUUGAUCAUGGAUUCAACAUAUAAGCUUGUCGUCCCGGAGCAGUAUGACCGACUAAUUUCCGCAGAGCUCCCAAACAAGCAGAAGUAUCCGGAAUUGCAUGCAUUGGUGGUAAAACAUAUGAUGCACGGACCCUGCGGUGCUCUCAACCCGAAGAAUGUUUGCAUGCAAGAUAACGAAUGCAAGUGCAGAUACCCGCGCCUGUUCAAUGAGAACACAGCACAAGGCAAGGACUCAUACCCAGUUUAUCGGCGUAGAGACGAUGGAAGCUGUGCUAAGGUCCGAGGGAAAAUGUUGGACAACAGAUGGGUUGUGCCUUAUAACCCUUACCUUCUGCGGAUGUUCAAUUGCCACAUCAACGUUGAGGUCUGCUCUAGCAUAAAGGCCGUCAAAUAUCUUUACAAGUACAUUUACAAGGGCCAUGAUAAGGCUUCUUUCAGCAUCGACCAGCCCGAUGCCAAUGGUAACAUCGAUGAGAUCAAGAGAUACGUUGACGCAAGGUGGGUCACCCCUCCGAAGGCUAUGUGGAGGAUAUUUGGCUUCCCACUUUGCGCCAAUUACCCGCCUGUCUUGCAGUUGCCUCUUCAUCUCCCAAAUAUGCACAGGGUUGCAUUCAAU